CUGACUCUCUUCUCUGACUCUCAGUCCCUCCUGGAUUUGGUUGCCCAUUUGGGAAGGUUGAAAGUGUUAAUCAUUAAGUCAUGUCCAGCUCUUUCCAACCCCAUGGACCAUAGUCCACCAGGCUCCUCUGUCCAUGGAAUUCUCUAGGCAAGAAUACUGGAGGUGGUAGCCAUUCCCUUCUCCAGGGGAUCUUCCUGACUUGAGGAUUGAACCCAGGUCUCCUGCAUUGCGGGCAGAUUCUUUACUAUCUGAGCCACCAGGAAAGCAUUAUUUUAUUACUAUUGAAAGUCCACCACCGUGGGGAUUCUGUUUCCCACAUCUGGAUCCACACAGCCCGGGGCAGCCCAGGAACCCAGGCGCAGGCCCAGGGCACUGAGCUAGGCCCAAUGCGGGAUGCCGAAGGUGAAGAGAGCUGGUUCCCACCACUGCAGGCUUUAGAAAGGAGCUGGGAAGGGAAAAGCCACAGCUUUGAGAUCACUGACCACGUCCAGCAGGAAAUCAUGAGUUCCAAAAUUGAGUGUAGAAUGUGAUUUCUUAAAGCACCAGAACAGCAUUGAGCCAAACAGGAGAACUUCCAAGACCAUCCACACCUCUCCCUUCACCUCCUCUGGGAAGUUCUAUCUGCUGUGGCGAGCCUGGCUCAAGGGUUCAAUUGUACAUUCAAAAUGUUAUGAUUCAGAAAUCGUAGGCAUCUAGGUAGGUGUGUGAAUCAGACAUAAAGGUGGCUCCUUAAUGACAAGGUUACCAGCCUCGCACCCCUGAAAAUGAACUCGGCCUGCAAACGCCCCUUGGGACAGGCAGAAGCAGAAGCUGAACUCUGGACCGCUGGCAGAGGGUGAUGGGAAGCCCAGAGUCUUCCUCUGUGGAUGGGAUCUGCCGGAAUCGCGCUGAGGGCAAGCGUUCCAGAGAACGUUCUCCGAUGUGGCACCGAUAGCAUUGAGGUUUCCUGUCGACGGCGGUUCCCCCCGCAUCUGUUCUAGGAAAAGCACGCGAAGCAGCUGCUUAUUUUCAAUCUGAUCAGGCUCCCCCGGCACUUCUCAAUUUCAGAGAGACGGUUUUUUCCACAGAACCUGGGUUUUCCAGUGGCGUCUAACUUUGCGGUCCUUGAUACACUUUCUGCUGUUGAUGAUAGAAAAAACAGGUGAACUGCUAAGUUUCACUCCAGCUGUCCACUGACUCUUUUUACCCUCAGUAAACUAAAUCAGCUCCCUGUAUUCCUUCCUAGAACAAAGGCGAUCAGCUCCUUUCGAACAAGAGGUGAUAAGCAAUGCAUUCUCCUUUGCCAUAGACACUCACCCAUUUCACCCGGAAACUUCUGUGCAGUUGACUCAGGAAAAAUAGAUUCCCUUUCUCCUAAAUGAGUCCUGAGUUUCACAAGUCUCCUGUCGGAAGUAGCCCAGUUAGCCAGCAUUUCUCUCUGUGGUGCUGAAAACCG
RNAcentral lists this transfer RNA (1435 nucleotides) under Bos indicus x Bos taurus (hybrid cattle). RNAcentral describes it as "lncRNA (ENSBIXG00000010472.1)". The record is from RNAcentral. Lineage: Eukaryota; Metazoa; Chordata; Mammalia; Artiodactyla; Bovidae.